This 252-nucleotide ribosomal RNA is filed under the name uncultured bacterium. RNAcentral's name for it is "partial 16S ribosomal RNA". It matches the Rfam family "Bacterial small subunit ribosomal RNA", at positions 524 to 776 of the family's 1533-position model. The record is from RNAcentral.
UACGAGUGCCCCGAGCGUUAUCCGGAAUUAUUGGGCGUAAAGGGUGUGUAGGUGGUCGUGUUAGUCUCCUGUCAAAUUCUUCGGCUUAACCGGGGGUCCGCAGGGGAAACGGCACGACUCGAGGAUGCGAGGGGUCAGUGGAACUCAUGGAGUAGGGGUGAAAUCCGUUGAUAUCAUGGGGAACACCAAAAGCGAAGGCACUGACUGGCGCAUUCCUGACACUGAGAUACGAAAGCGUGGGUAGCGAACUGG